GAUGGUAUAGCUCAGUGGUAGAGCAUGUGCAUAGCAUGCAUGAGGUCCUGAGUUCAAUCCCCAGUACCUCCA
RNAcentral lists this transfer RNA (72 nucleotides) under Camelus bactrianus (Bactrian camel). It matches the Rfam family "tRNA". Rfam says of the family: Transfer RNA (tRNA) molecules are approximately 80 nucleotides in length. Their secondary structure includes four short double-helical elements and three loops (D, anti-codon, and T loops). RNAcentral also lists the same sequence under 2 other names. Lineage: Eukaryota; Metazoa; Chordata; Mammalia; Artiodactyla; Camelidae. The record is from Rfam by way of RNAcentral.